RNAcentral lists this ribosomal RNA (958 nucleotides) under uncultured archaeon. Its description in RNAcentral is "bacterial SSU rRNA". The stretch from base 3 to 855 matches the Rfam family "Archaeal small subunit ribosomal RNA", at positions 4 to 828 of the family's 1478-position model. The record is from RNAcentral.
UUCCGGUUGAUCCUGCCGGACCCUACUGCUAUUGGGAUAAGACUCAGCCAUGCAAGUUGAGCGCUUCCAAGCUAUGUUGGAAGAGCGGCGUACGGCUCCGUAACACGUAGUCAACCUACCCUCAAGAUGGGGAUACCCCCGGGAAACUGGGGCUAAUACCCGAUAGGUAAUGAUUCCUGGAAUGGUUUAUUGCUCAAAAGGUUUUGAGAACAUGCUCUCAAUUCUGCCUGAGGACGGGACUGCGGCCGAUCAGGUUGUUGGUAGGGUAAUGGCCUACCAAGCCUAUAACCGGUACGGGCCCUGAGAGGGGUAGCCCGGAGAUGGGAACUGAGACAAGGUCCCAAGCCCUACGGGGUGCAGCAGGCGCGAAAACUCCACAAUGCACGAAAGUGUGAUGGGAUUAUCCCAAGUGCCGUCCGCUGAGGAUGGCUUUUCCCCGGUGUAACUAGUCGGGGGAAUAAGAGGGGGGCAAGACUGGUGUCAGCCGCCGCGGUAAUACCAGCUCCUCGAGUGGUAUGGAUGAUUAUUUGGCCUAAAGCGUUCGUAGCCGGCUUAGCUAGUCCUUCGUGAAAUCCUCUGAUUCAAUCUUAGGGCGUGUGAGGGAUACUAUUACGCUUGGGGACGGCAGAGGUCGACGGUACUCUUGGAGUACGGGUGAAAUCCUAUAAUCCCAAGAGGACCACGAGUGGCACUAGCGGUCGACUGACACCGAGCCUGACGGUGAUGGGACAACAAACUAGGAGAGCGAACCCGGAUAUAUACCCGGAAACUCCUAGCCCUAAACGAUGCGAGCCUCCGUGUUGGAUCAGCUAUGAACUAGUACUAUGACCGCCGGCACCUGCUUAGUCCGCCGCCAUGCUAAUACUAGACGCAUGCUGAACACACGCAUUGGCGGAGAUAGCCAUAGUGGGAAGCCUGCGUACUGACCGACGCCUGUAACCUGGACGAUCGGGUGCAA